Non-coding RNA from Podarcis lilfordi (Lilford's wall lizard), 73 nucleotides. Lineage: Eukaryota; Metazoa; Chordata; Lepidosauria; Squamata; Lacertidae. The record is from the annotation of a GenBank genome assembly.
AGGGCUAUGUCUCAGUGGCAGAGCAUCUCCUUUGAAUGUAGAAGGUCCCAGGUUCGAUCCCAGGUCAGGCUGG